Molecule: long non-coding RNA, 290 nt
Filed under: Homo sapiens (human)
Lineage: Eukaryota; Metazoa; Chordata; Mammalia; Primates; Hominidae
Description: non-protein coding lnc-ADRA1B-2:1
Source: RNAcentral
CUCCCCUCUCUUCAUGAUUCAUUCUUGUGUGUGUGUGCACGUGUGCAUACACAUGCAUGCACACUCACACCUCGCCCUACUAUUUUCAUUCCUCCAACACCCCCAGGUCCUCCUUGUCUUCCCUCGUGCUGUUCCCUUUAGCUGGAGUGCCCUUCUCCUACUCUUGAUCUGAUGGGUACAGCUUUCGGGCCUUGGUUCAAAUUUAAUGGCCUUUCCUGACCCUCUCAUAUAAUUUAGCUGUGCCUUGCUGUACCUUCUCAGGGCCUCCAGUUCUACUUUCCUUUGUAAUU